This 291-nucleotide ribosomal RNA is filed under the name Alexandrium margalefii. RNAcentral's name for it is "partial Bacterial small subunit ribosomal RNA". It matches the Rfam family "Bacterial small subunit ribosomal RNA", at positions 25 to 344 of the family's 1533-position model. The record is from RNAcentral. Lineage: Eukaryota; Dinophyceae; Gonyaulacales; Pyrocystaceae.
CAGAUUGAACGCUGGCGGCAGGCCUAACACAUGCAAGUCGAACGCACUCUUCGGAGUGAGUGGCGCACGGGUGAGUAACGCGUGGGAACCUGCCCUGGGGUUGGGAAUAACCGCUGGAAACGGCGGCUAAUACCCGAUACGCCUUUCGAGGGAAAGAUUUAUCGCCCCGGGAUGGGCCCGCGUCCGAUUAGCUUGUUGGUGGGGUAAUGGCCCACCAAGGCAUCGAUCGGUAGCUGGUCUGAGAGGAUGAUCAGCCACACUGGGACUGAGACACGGCCCAGACUCCUACGG